GCGAGAAUAGUUCAAUAGGUAGAAUACCAGCCUUCCAAGCUGAAGAUUACGGGUUCAAAUCCCGUUUCUCGCU
RNAcentral lists this transfer RNA (73 nucleotides) under Candidatus Shikimatogenerans bostrichidophilus. RNAcentral describes it as "tRNA-Gly". It matches the Rfam family "tRNA". Rfam says of the family: Transfer RNA (tRNA) molecules are approximately 80 nucleotides in length. Their secondary structure includes four short double-helical elements and three loops (D, anti-codon, and T loops). Lineage: Bacteria; Pseudomonadati; Bacteroidota; Flavobacteriia; Flavobacteriales. The record is from RNAcentral.